Molecule: long non-coding RNA, 1172 nt
Filed under: Homo sapiens (human)
Lineage: Eukaryota; Metazoa; Chordata; Mammalia; Primates; Hominidae
Description: long non-coding RNA NONHSAT203487.1
Source: RNAcentral
AUUAGAUGACUUUUUGGAUCUAAAUCACAAAUAUUGGGAAAGAUAUCUCUCAAAGAAGCAAGGACAGUAGUUACAAGUUAUACUGGCAGUUAUUGAAGAUACUUAAGAUCCAAGAACUUCUUGCUUUUAUGCUAGAAAUCAUUAUGAUAGUGCUGGACACUGAAGCAAAUACCAUACUGCUUAUACUUGGUCUUCCAGUUUUUUGUAAAUUUAAUUUUAUAUUUUUUGAAGAUGAUAGCAAUAUGCUAAAAAAUGCUUGUCCCCUAUAUGAAUAUUCUGUUACGCUUGAAAAAUAUUUUCUCCAGCGUUGGUUACUGACCACCCCACCCUCCCACCACACACACACACACACACACACACACACACACACACACACACACACAAAGUGGAGAAAAAUGUAUACUCAACAAUGUCAUUUUGUGACUUUGGAAACAAGUUAUGUUUUGUGUUUUUGUCUCAUUGUGUUAUUGUCUGACUAAAUCUAAAACCAAACCCAUGUUGAAACUAGUACUUUUCCCUUUAAAAACAAACCAAAAAAAAAAACAAAAAAAAACUUUUUAAUUAAAGAACCUAGUUUGCUAUGCUUAAAAUUACCAAGAAUUUUUUAUUUCUUUGUCAUAGACACAAUUUCUCUUCUGUAUGCCACUAGUUACAUUUCUAAAUUCUGAGCGGUCUCAGUUAGGCCUGUAUGUGUGUACAUGUCCAAGUAAAGCUGGAAAAUGUCAGUCUUGACACAGCUGUGUCUUAGUAUGAGAAACAGAAGACUGAAGAAUAAAAACUAAGGAACAAGAAUGAGUCUCUUUUUGGUGGCUAAGUAGAAUCUUCCUAAAACCAUUGUCAUAAAAGCAGUUAAAGGCAAUAAAUUUUUAAAAGGGACAUAUCACUGAUUCAUUCCUAAAAAGCAUGAACAAAAAGUUUUUGUUCUGUUCCAGCUAUAUCUUGUCUAAGUGCUAACACUGUUUCAGUGAAAAUAUCUAGCCAUAAGAUUAAAAAAAUAUAUUAUUUGCAAUGCUUAAGCCUGCAGAUACGUAAUGUGACCACUGUUUUGUGUUGACAAUAUUGCUUUAUACAGUUCUUGUAUUUGAAAGGAAUUGAUCCUUUUAAAGAAACAUGGUGUAUAUUGUUCUUACAGGACUAAUUUCAGUGGUGUAAAUAAUAAAUAUCUUUUCUUA